GACGAACGCUGGCGGCGCGCCUAAAACAUGCAAGUCGAACGGGGUCCAACCAGUGGCAACACUGGGGAAGAUCUAGUGGCGAACGGGUGAGUACCACGUGAGGAACCUGCCCCGGAGACCGGGACUAAGCCUUCGAAAGGAGGUCUAAUACCGGAUAUCUUCAUCUGGCCGCAUGACCGGAUGAAGAAAUGGAUUCCGCUCUGGGAUGGCCUCGCGGCCUAUCAGCUUGNGGGUUGGGGUAACGGGCCCACCCAAGGCAUCGACGGGUAGCUGGUCUGAGAGGACGAUCAGCC
Molecule: ribosomal RNA, 293 nt
Filed under: uncultured bacterium
Lineage: Bacteria
Description: partial 16S ribosomal RNA
Rfam family: Bacterial small subunit ribosomal RNA
Source: RNAcentral